This 118-nucleotide ribosomal RNA is filed under the name Petromyzon marinus (sea lamprey). The record is from RNAcentral. Lineage: Eukaryota; Metazoa; Chordata; Hyperoartia; Petromyzontiformes; Petromyzontidae.
GCUGAUGGCCAAAUUACUCUGAAUGUGCCCGAUCUCGUCAGACCCAGAAACUAAGUUGGGCUGGGCCUGGAUAGAGCUUGGAUGGGCAACCACCAUGCAUGCCAGGUUGUCAAUGGGC